UUGAAAGCAGGCGUUCGCAUCUCUCUUACUUGUAGCUAGUUUGUAUCCAAUUGGGAGCCGCGGAGCGUUCGACUUCCUGUCAGUUCUACUAUCUCUCUUUCUCUCUCUCUCGUCGUCUCCCCGUUAUAAAUUAAGUCUUCUGGGGGCAUUGCCGAAGAAAACUUCUGGCGGUUUGCCGCUCUACUUGUAAGGCAGGCGUACACUCGCAUGGAUAUGAUUGCGGCCAUCCGGCACUUUCGAUCACGUUUACGGUUUAACUGAACUUACUCACUUUGAUUUUUAAGUGCUCACCAGUUUAACAUCGCUCCACUGAAAUAGCAAAUCAGACCAUUGAAUCGAGAGAUAUUCACUCAUUAUUUGCUACCUGUUUGUAGCACCGAUAAUAAAGGCGCUUAAUGGUUGUAUUCAGGUGGCUGUCGGAUCUACGCGGUGGUUUCAAGCGACGAGGAUCCAUCUACCAGGGCAACAGUAUAUUUCCGCCGGCGGACCACGACGUGUAGGCUGCCACCUGUCAGCUGUCAGACUCUCAGAGGAGAUCGUCCCCGGGGUCAUCCACGGGGGUGUGAGGGAGAAACAUGGAUGCUAUCAAUGCCGCAAGGUUACUUCUGCUUGCUCUGAUUUACGCCGGGCCCAACAUGCGGGAAGGCACCCAUGACACCCUGGACGAGCAGGACAACGCUGUUACCUCGUUGAUUAACGAUGAUAUCCGGAACAUUGAGGCACAAACCAAACAAGAAGACGAGGUAGUACGCGCGCUUCUACAUAAGCUCUUGGUCUCAAAACGCGCCCACAGUCCGACGGGUCGUGGCGCGGACGGUGGGCUGGCACCGUUUCGCUCCAGGAACUCUGACAUGACACGAAGAUUCCCCUUUAAGACAGAACAUAUCACCGAUGGACCUGCUUGUCAGUUUUCAGGCACGUGCAGUAUUGGAUGGAAACGAAGUAUAAGGAAGCGAAGGAGUACAUCCUCUAUAAAUAAUGGCGUUUCUAACAGUCGUACAACACUGAGGCAUCGAAACCCACUAAGAUUAGCAACGAGACCAACCAUGUAGCAGCCUAGUCUAGAAAAAAACAAUCGAUCAACAGAAUCAUUCCAACGAACUUUCUACUCCUUUCCCUCCUUUGAAGUUUUCAUCAUAAGGAUCUUGACAAUGGCCGCUCUAGUCCUUUUUGUAAAAAUAUAAAACCCUGUUUGUCCAAUAUACUUUAGCCCAAGGAACAUCUCGUCAUCUGCAGUGACUAUGCACUUCGUUCAAUAUGAUAGUAUCAAACAUAGCGAUUAACUUAUCUUAGUCACAGUAUCUUAAACCAUUUUCUAACUUAUAGAAAAUUAUACAUCUAAUGAUAAAACAAUAUUUAAAACAAAUGAUCAUAUUCCGUGAAACAUUGAAUUUUAGCUUAUUUCCGUUCAUGACAGUUCACAUAGUCACUUACAGUUUAAUGUAUGGUUGAAUAUCGGAUUUCAUACAGAGAUAUCGAAGUGUGGUAUCUAAACGAUUUCGUUCUUUCUUCCAAUUUAUACUUCUCAGAAUCCUAACAUCCUAAAAUUAAUAUUUCAAAUUAUUUUUGUAAGGUCGAAACGUAAAUGUUAUUGUAAGGGCCAUGACUUUAAUAUUUGAUCUCUUGUAUUGUAGACAUGGUUAUCUUUUCGUUUUAUUAUUACGAUAGUAAUUGUAUUUCUUCUAACCACAUUCUUGAUAGCAUUUGAAGAAUGAGAAGUAGAAUCACUGGAAAUAGUCUGGAUCGGCAUGUAGGAAUGAUCAUAAUAAUUUUUAAGAAAAACAUGGAUAUGUGCGUUUGUUUCAUCAAGUUCAUUUCUAUUGGAAAAUCUUAAUGUCCAAAUCAUUAGGCAGUAUUCUUGUCUUUGCGUUUAAGAAGACAGAGUUCUAAAUAAUUUAAUAGCAUACCAUAAGCUCAGCAUCUAGAAAUUUCGUCCUUUUCCGACAUUGUUGUGAAUGAAAUAGUCACGUUUUAUUGCAAGUUUAAGUGCACUUUUAACGUGAUCAAUAUAAGGCAUACUUAAAUAUUAGCACAAAUUGCGGCGAGAAAUGCAUGUAAAUAAUAGAAAAGUAUAUUGCAAUGUAAUAUUUCUUGCACUGAUGCUGAAAUGGUUGAAUGAGAGCCCUGUACAUGAAGUUAACUAUGGAUUUUCUAAGGUCUUCUGUAAGGGAAGGCCAUUAUUGUGUCGUAAGGAAAAAAAGAGAGGUAGGAAAAAUAAACAUGCAUAAUUAUAAUUGGUAACGUUGACACGAAGGACACAGCCUCGGACGAGAGUUAUUCAAAUUCUCCGUACCCUGCUCAAUUAGAAUAGGUAUGAAUAUUUCAUAAUUCAAUUAAAGACAUCAAAUUACAUUUGAUGAAUUCUGAGGCUAGCGUCGAGUUGAUCAAAGAUGGGUGAAGGAAGGACAUGUCCCUAUUCGAAAGGCGUUGUGACGUUUCGUAGAAAAAAUGAUGAUGGAUAGGAAAGGCUACUAAUAGGAAGCGUGGUAGGAAUUGAUGGACCUGAUGUUGCGUGGACGUUGAUGUGUAACCUUUCAAUAAAUUCCGUGUUCGUCAAAACAAUUUUUGAUCGUAAACAGACCCAAAUUGGUUAAAUUAAGCAAGCACCAUGCGGUUGGAAAUGGAAAUGCGUAUUGUUUGUUUGAACUCGAAAUAUGAUAUUGCGUAUUCGAACAAUAAUAUUUUUUUCUUUUUCUUAUAUUUGGAUAUUAAAAGAGAAGCAACAUGCAUCAUAUGAAUUAUGACUAAAAUGUACAAGAUGGGGGAUGUCAUGUGUUGAAUGUUGAUUUUUGUGUUCGUUAUUAAAAAUUCCAUGCAAUCGA
Molecule: long non-coding RNA, 2822 nt
Organism: Strongylocentrotus purpuratus (purple sea urchin)
Lineage: Eukaryota; Metazoa; Echinodermata; Echinoidea; Camarodonta; Strongylocentrotidae
Exons: 2
Source: RefSeq, a predicted model, not a curated record